GAUGAAGAACGUAGUGAAAUGCGAUAAGUAAUGUGAAUUGCAGAAUUCAGUGAAUCAUCGAAUCUUUGAACGCACAUUGCGCCCGCCAGUGUUCUGGCGGGCAUGCCUGUCCGAGCGUCAUUUCAACCCUCGAACCCCUCCGGGGGGUCGGCGUUGGGGAUCGGCCCUGCCUCUUGGCGGUGGCCGUCUCCGAAAUACAGAGGCGGUCUCGCCGCAGCCUCUCCUGCGCAGUAGUUUGCACACUCGCAUCGGGAGCGCGGCGCGUCCACAGCCGUUAAACACCCAACUUCUGAAAUGUUGACCUCGGAUCAGGUAGGAAUACCCGCUGAACUUAAGCAUAUCAAUAAGCGGAGGA
This 355-nucleotide unclassified non-coding RNA is filed under the name soil metagenome. RNAcentral's name for it is "partial contains 5.8S ribosomal RNA, internal transcribed spacer 2, and large subunit ribosomal RNA". The stretch from base 1 to 120 matches the Rfam family "5.8S ribosomal RNA", at positions 35 to 154 of the family's 154-position model. The record is from RNAcentral.